CCCAGCUUGCUGGUGCUCGAGUGGCGAACGGGUGAGUAACACGUGGGUGAUCUGCCCCUGACUUUGGGAUAAGCCUGGGAAACUGGGUCUAAUACCGGAUAUGACCUUACGUUGCAUGACGUUUGGUGGAAAGCCUUGUGCGGUUGGGGAUGGGCCCGCGGCCUAUCAGCUUGUUGGUGGGGUAAUGGCCUACCAAGGCGACGACGGGUAGCCGACCUGAGAGGGUGAUCGGCCACACUGGGACUGAGACACGGCCCAGACUCCUACGGGAGGCAGCAGUGGGGAAUAUUGCACAAUGGGCGCAAGCCUGAUGCAGCGACGCCGCGUGAGGGAUGACGGCCUUCGGGUUGUAAACCUCUUUCACCAGGGACGAAGCUUAAGUGACGGUACCUGGAGAAGAAGCACCGGCCAACUACGUGCCAGCAGCCGCGGUAAUACGUAGGGUGCGAGCGUUGUCCGGAAUUACUGGGCGUAAAGAGCUCGUAGGCGGUUUGUCGCGUCGUCUGUGAAAUUCUGCAGCUUAACUGCAGGCGUGCAGGCGAUACGGGCAGACUUGAGUACUACAGGGGAGACUGGAAUUCCUGGUGUAGCGGUGAAAUGCGCAGAUAUCAGGAGGAACACCGGUGGCGAAGGCGGGUCUCUGGGUAGUAACUGACGCUGAGGAGCGAAAGCGUGGGUAGCGAACAGGAUUAGAUACCCUGGUAGUCCACGCCGUAAACGGUGGGUACUAGGUGUGGGGCUCAUUUCACGAGUUCCGUGCCGUAGCUAACGCAUUAAGUACCCCGCCUGGGGAGUACGGCCGCAAGGCUAAAACUCAAAGGAAUUGACGGGGGCCCGCACAAGCGGCGGAGCAUGUGGAUUAAUUCGAUGCAACGCGAAGAAACCUUACCUGGGUUUGACAUACCACCAGAAUGCGGCUAAAAGAUAGUCGUUCCCUUGGUGGUUGGUGGUAACAGGGUGGGUGCAUGGGCUGUUCGUCAGCUUCGUGGUCGUUGAAGAUGGUUGGGGUUAAGUCCCCGCAAACGGAAGCCGCCAACCCUUUGUUCCCUUGUAUUUGCCCAGCCGGGGUAUAUGGCCGGGGACACUUUGCAAGGAAGACUGGCCCGGGGUUCAACUCUC
RNAcentral lists this ribosomal RNA (1119 nucleotides) under Gordonia sp. (in: high G+C Gram-positive bacteria). RNAcentral's name for it is "bacterial SSU rRNA". It matches the Rfam family "Bacterial small subunit ribosomal RNA", at positions 74 to 1193 of the family's 1533-position model. The record is from RNAcentral. Lineage: Bacteria; Bacillati; Actinomycetota; Actinomycetes; Mycobacteriales; Gordoniaceae.